Molecule: ribosomal RNA, 492 nt
Filed under: uncultured bacterium
Lineage: Bacteria
Description: partial 16S ribosomal RNA
Rfam family: Bacterial small subunit ribosomal RNA
Source: RNAcentral
AGUGAACGCUGGCGGUAGGCCUAACACAUGCAAGUCGAACGGCAGCACAGUAAGAGCUUGCUCUUAUGGGUGGCGAGUGGCGGACGUGUGAGGAAUACAUCGUAAUCUACUUUUUCGUGGGGGAUAACGUAGGGAAACUUACGCUAAUACCGCAUACGACCUACGGGUGAAAGCAGGGGAUCUUCGGACCUUGCGCGAUUGAAUGAGCCGAUGUGGGAUUAGUUAGUUGGCGGGGUAAAGGCCCAGCAAGUCGACGAUCCGUAGCUGGUCUGAGAGGAUGAUCGGCCACACUGGAACGGAGACAGGGACAAGACUCCUGCGGGAGGCAGCAGUGGGGAAUGUUGGGCAAUGGGGGCAAGCCUGAUCCAGCGAUACCGAGUGGGUGAAGAAGGCCUUCGGUUUGUGAAGACCGUUUGUUGGGAAUGAAAAGCAGCAGGUUAAUACCACGCUGUUCUGACGGUAACCAAAGAAUAAGCACCGGCUAACUUCGUG